UGAGGAAUAUUGGUCAAUGGACGAGAGUCUGAACCAGCCAAGUAGCGUGCAGGAUGACGGCCCUAUGGGUUGUAAACUGCUUUUGUUUGGGAAUAAUCGACAUUACGUGUAAUGUUUUGCAUGUACCAUUCGAAUAAGGACCGGCUAAUUCCGUGCCAGCAGCCGCGGUAAUACGGAAGGUCCAGGCGUUAUACGGAUUUAUUGGGUUUAAAGGGAGUGUAGGCGGUUGGUUAAGCGUGUUGUGAAAUGUAGAUGCUCAACAUCUGACUUGCAGCGCGAACUGGCUGACUUGAGUACACACAACGUAGGCGGAAUUCAUGGUGUAGCGGUGAAAUGCUUAGAUAUCAUGAAGAACUCCGAUUGCGAAGGCAACUUACGGGAGUGUUACUGACGCUUAAGCUCGAAGGUGCGGGUAUCGAACAGG
This 424-nucleotide ribosomal RNA is filed under the name Verrucomicrobiota bacterium. RNAcentral's name for it is "Verrucomicrobia bacterium partial 16S ribosomal RNA". It matches the Rfam family "Bacterial small subunit ribosomal RNA", at positions 355 to 776 of the family's 1533-position model. The record is from RNAcentral. Lineage: Bacteria; Pseudomonadati; Verrucomicrobiota.